This 964-nucleotide long non-coding RNA is filed under the name Marmota monax (woodchuck). The record is from RNAcentral. Lineage: Eukaryota; Metazoa; Chordata; Mammalia; Rodentia; Sciuridae.
CUUCUCAGGACCAAGGUCUGGAUUCAGGCCCCUGACAGGGAGCUAGAGGGAGUCUCCUCUGAGUCACCCCAUAGGCUGACUGGGGAUCUUCAAAACUGCCCCUUCUGCUGGAAGAAUUUGCCUGCACCAGGCUCCCAUCCCUACAGGCUGGGUCCUUGAUGCCCAACUCAGUCUGACAAGACCUGCCUACUCCACAAGGGUCUUCACCCUUAUUCCUGAGCCCUCUUGUCCAGUUGCAAUGUGGGCUUUCUCAUUUCUUGACGUCAACUUUGAUCCCUUGAAGUCCACAGAGCUGAACAACACCCCUGUGUGGGUGGGGAAACUUUGAUAGGUGUGAGCCUCCCAGAGACCAGAGGUCCCUAGUCUGCUGCAGCUGCCCCUGUCUGAGGGUGAGCUAUGCUUGUGGUAGUGUUCCACUAGAGGGACAGGGAGCCACUGAGCCUUCCUGGGAGAGCCAGGCAGAGCAUGGCAGUGGAGACAGAGACCAAGAGGUGGUUACCAAGGUGUAGGGUGACUUCUAAUGCCUGGGGCUGCCUUUCACAUCUGCCACAAAGGGAACAGAGGGGCUGGGGAUGUGGCUCAAGUGGUAACACACUCGCCUGGCAUGCGCGGGGCACUGGGUUCAAUCCUCAGAACCACAUAAAAAUAAAAUAAAGAUGUUGUGUCCACCGAGAACUAAAAAAUAAAUAUUAAAAAAAUUCUCUCUCUCUCUCUCUCUCUCUCAAAAAAAAAAAAAGGGGGGGGGAGGGACAGAAGCCCAGAGCUGGGCCCUAAAAUCAAGCGCCAGAGGACAGAAUGCCCAGUUCAGCCUGUGUAUCUGCUCUACCCACUUCAAGAGACUAUGUUUCCCACUAGAAGCCCCAGCUUUCACCUGCCACUGAAAAGAUUCUUGGAAUCCUACUUUUGUUGGCAAAACUUUGUGGCUUCUCUAGCUUCUCCGAAGGGCCAGAAGCCAAGAAUUCAU